GGUCAAGCUACAAAGAGCUAACGGUGGAUACCUUGGCACACAGAGGCGAAGAAGGACGUAGUUACCGACGAAACGCUUCGGGGAGCUGGAAACAAGCAGAGAGCCGAAGAUAU
This 113-nucleotide ribosomal RNA is filed under the name Coelosphaerium sp. G2. RNAcentral describes it as "partial 23S ribosomal RNA". It matches the Rfam family "Bacterial large subunit ribosomal RNA", at positions 1 to 113 of the family's 2925-position model. The record is from RNAcentral. Lineage: Bacteria; Bacillati; Cyanobacteriota; Cyanophyceae; Synechococcales; Coelosphaeriaceae.